GCCGGUUACGACGCUAAACCUACAGGGGCGAGUUUGGGUCGUGACAGAUUUGGAUUACAGUGAUCAGGCCCGUGAUCAAGCGCAUGACCAGGUUUAGAGGCGUUUGCCUGGACUCUGUUUUUGUCAGCCAACCUAUGCAUCUCCCGUGGAGGUUCUGGAUAUGUCAAGUGUCAAGGCUAUGUAAUUAAAGUUUAAGUUUUUGUUUAUUCUAUAUAUAAGGUUAAGUCCCUUUUGUCUCAUUUGUAUAUAUAUAUAUAUAUGAUGAUGCAGGAAUGAUGUGAUAAUAUACGUAUAUAAAAAUACAAAAUAAAAAAAAAAGUUUAAAUAUUUUCUGUCUCAUGUAAGUCUGCACAGCUCAAUGGACGAUGUAUGUUUGUAUUUUGCUUCCGCUAGCCACUCAUAUUAUGUAUCUAUUUAAGAGGCCUUCGAUAAUCUUAGGAUUAUUGGCCAGUCAUGAUGCUAAACCUAUAGGGGUGGGUUUGGGUUGUGACAUGGUAAAUCUAUUUUAAGGAAACUGUGGUAUCACACAA
This is a non-coding RNA of Camellia sinensis, 530 nucleotides long. The record is from RefSeq and is a predicted model, not a curated record. NCBI's taxonomy places the organism in Eukaryota, Viridiplantae, Streptophyta, Magnoliopsida, Ericales, Theaceae.